CAAAAAGCCUUCCUUUCCCUACCUCAGCUGAAAAUCCUUCCCCUCCCCAUCCCAGCGCCAGCCGUGGCCGUGCUGCGCCUGUCGUGCCGUGCAGGAGCCUUGAGCAUCUUUUGCAAAGAGCGUUUCUCACCUGCUUGAAGAAGAUGCUGAGGCGUACUGUAAACAGGAGGCUCCAUGGCUAAGGAGGACCUCGUGUUUAUUGCUGAAGUUGGAGUCGUUUCUGAUCUGUUUUCCAGCACUUUGCAACACCAUUUUAUCAGAGGCUGGAAGUCCCAUAUGUCAGUUUUCCUCACUUUUUUACUCCUCUGAACAGUGCCACAGGCACUUUACAGUUUAACCGCAGGCAGCCCUCCUUUCGGGCGCUCUCCCUAACCCGGGGGCAUCUCCCGGAGCCCCUGCCCACCAGGACGACUCUCUCGCAACGCCCCCGGCUGAAUGACCCGCAUCAAAUCAACCCUAUCGACAGAGGCACAGCUUCCCAAACCUCCCCCCGCCUCCGCAGAAGCCUCACCUACACCUCUGGCAGCGUGUGGGGGCUGGUUUGUUUUUGGUUUUUUUUGGUUU
Molecule: long non-coding RNA, 564 nt
Organism: Cuculus canorus (common cuckoo)
Lineage: Eukaryota; Metazoa; Chordata; Aves; Cuculiformes; Cuculidae
Exons: 4
Source: RefSeq, a predicted model, not a curated record